GCCAGAGUGGUGUAGUGGUUUGCGCGUUAGACUAUGACUCUGGAAACCAGGGUUUGAAUCCUGGCUCGGCCA
This 72-nucleotide transfer RNA is filed under the name Phrynosoma platyrhinos (Desert horned lizard). RNAcentral's name for it is "tRNA-OTHER". It matches the Rfam family "tRNA". Rfam says of the family: Transfer RNA (tRNA) molecules are approximately 80 nucleotides in length. Their secondary structure includes four short double-helical elements and three loops (D, anti-codon, and T loops). The record is from RNAcentral. Lineage: Eukaryota; Metazoa; Chordata; Lepidosauria; Squamata; Phrynosomatidae.